GAUAUAUGGUGCUAUUAUCAACAAAUGGAAUCAUAUCCAUCCAGAUGCACUAAUCCUCCAAUACUUGGCUCCUCGGGAAAGAUUGUAUGUGACAUUGGGCAGUGAUGAAGAUGUGGAGAAUAUGGUUGCAUUGCAUCUGAUAAUGAAGAUGAGUGUGGUCGACAUUGUCGUGAUCCGCAAAGAUGAAGCUAAUUCGCGUGGAAAGAGGGUUCGCACCGAUGGCUGGGAGGACAAGAUGGAGGAGAGCUUACAUGAUUGCCCAUUAUGUUAUUCAAGUGAUUGAAGUGAAUGAAAACUGGCUGUUUGUACUUUAUUAUUAUGUGAUUUGUACUAUGUUGAUUUGAACUUUGUACUAUGUUUCAAUUUGCACUAUGUUUUUGCUAUUUGUAGUUUGUACUAUGUAUUAGGUACUCUGUUCAUUGAUGGUUUAUCAUUUUCAGUCUAAUGGUACUAUUUUUAUUUACACAUGGUAUUGGAUA
Erythranthe guttata (spotted monkey flower) is the source of this 479-nucleotide non-coding RNA. The record is from RefSeq and is a predicted model, not a curated record. NCBI's taxonomy places the organism in Eukaryota, Viridiplantae, Streptophyta, Magnoliopsida, Lamiales, Phrymaceae.